Long non-coding RNA from Solanum pennellii, 1141 nucleotides. RefSeq lists it as uncharacterized. The transcript is spliced from 3 exons. The record is from RefSeq and is a predicted model, not a curated record. NCBI's taxonomy places the organism in Eukaryota, Viridiplantae, Streptophyta, Magnoliopsida, Solanales, Solanaceae.
AUUCCAGCAUUCUCUAGUAAGCCCAACCCUUUCUUUCCCAAACCCGACCCAAAUCCUUUUAUCCCCAUCACCAGAGUAACGAAGAAACCCAGCACUCAAAGCAACGCGAUGCCAGCGCGUGAGCAACGAUCCAAACGGCAAGUUCAAUGCCUGUACCUUUCUUUUUAUGCCUUGUGCACUCACAGUCGCAUCUUCGUCCAGUCGUAGCAGGUCAGAACAGCCGCUUGCGUUGAUAGGUGCCACGUCGGGUACAAGGACGAUUAGAAUGAUCCUAGCCAUUUGCAUCACUGUCGAACCCGGAUUUUGUGGGAUUUUGGAUGAGUUCUCGUACAAAGGAAUAGCUGCCCUGUCCUUGAGAAAUUUUGAAAUCUUUGAAAUUGAAGUGGUUGUCCAUUUUUGCCCCAAUCUUCUUCAGAAAAUUCUCCCGCCUUCCCCUGAUUCGGAACCCUAGUUUUCCUCCUCUAAAUAUCCCUCUUCUUCAUUUGUUUUAGGGUUGGACAAUUCUAGAAGAGAAAAACAGUCAGUAAAGAAGGAAAAAUAUUAGCUUUUCAUUAAAAGAUCGUAGGCGAGAGAGUUCGUUUAAGAUUCUAGCUAUAUUUUCAGAGUAAAAUAUACUAACAGGGAAUUGAGUGAUUGUUUGCCAAGAUUAUUUGAGAUUCGAGAUAUCGGUUACGCUUCUUCCAUGUUACUUGUUGUUGCUGGUGCGGUGAAAUCGUUUUCCUCUUUUCGUUUUGUCUAGUUCGCUGCACCGGAAGAGGAGAAGGUUCAAACACAUUUAUCUUCCUGUAUCAACAUGAUUGUGUUCGCUGAUUUGUUGACCUUCCUCAGUCAAGGUCCCGAAACUUAUGGAAUGGAUGUAGGGAAAAGUUGAAGAUUUUUGGGUGAGAAACCCAAGUUUAUUUUCUAAAAUAGUGUAUUUAUUUCAUUUUUUUGGGGCUUAAGCUCUUGUCGUCCUUUCAUUUAUUAAUUGUUGUAUGAUUAGUAUAGGACAGGUACAAGGAGAAUGGGCCAAAGGCCCAAAAUAAAUGGGUCCAAAUACCGAUCCUGGCGGACAGAAUCUUGAUUUGGACCCAUCGCUCUCCCUUAUUUUAUUGCUUUGGACCCAUCUCUCUCCCUUAUUUUAUUGCUUAUUUACUUGUUA